This 252-nucleotide ribosomal RNA is filed under the name uncultured bacterium. RNAcentral's name for it is "partial 16S ribosomal RNA". It matches the Rfam family "Bacterial small subunit ribosomal RNA", at positions 524 to 775 of the family's 1533-position model. The record is from RNAcentral.
UACGGAGGGAGCUAGCGUUGUUCGGAAUUACUGGGCGUAAAGCGCACGUAGGCGGCUUUGUAAGUUAGAGGUGAAAUCCUGGAGCUCAACUCCAGAACUGCCUUUGAUACUGGCGAUCUUGAGUCCGGGAGAGGUGAGUGGAACUGCGAGUGUAGAGGUGAAAUUCGUAGAUAUUCGCAAGAACACCAGUGGCGAAGGCGGCUCACUGGCCCGGUACUGACGCUGAGGUGCGAAAGCGUGGGGAGCAACAGG